CCGGUCGUCAACGUAACCUGACCAGAGGGAGCCGGUCGUCAACGUAACCUGACCAGAGGGAGCCGGUCGUCAACGUAACCUGACCAGAGGGAGCCGGUCGUCAACGUAACCUGACCAGAGGGAGCCGCCUUCCUCUCCUCUGAAGACCCAGUGAGGGUGGAGCUCAGUCAGAGAGCUGUUGAGGGACUGGUUAGGAAGAACACUUCUACAGCCAGAGAGGGGCAGUCAAGAAAUGGAACAGCAAGGCCACAGAACAUGACAUAAGCAGAGCUGUGGGACACCACCUCAAGCCCCUGGUAUAGCCGGGGGUGGUGUUCACCACUCCAGCAGGCUGGAAAAUUGCGAUUGAUACU
Molecule: long non-coding RNA, 353 nt
Organism: Oncorhynchus keta (chum salmon)
Lineage: Eukaryota; Metazoa; Chordata; Actinopteri; Salmoniformes; Salmonidae
Exons: 3
Source: RefSeq, a predicted model, not a curated record